UUACCGAGUUAGGGUCUCACCGGCCCGAUCUCCCAACCCUUUGUCUACUUGACCAUCGUUGCUUCGGCGAGCCCGUCCUCACGGACCGCCGGGGGGUCUUUGUACCCCUUGGCCCGCGCUCGUCGACAGCCCCCAAAUUUAAAAAAUCUUAACUAAACGUGUCUUGAAUCUAAGUAUUAUUGUUAAAUAAAAACAAAACUUUCAACAACGGAUCUCUUGGUUCUGGCAUCGAUGAAGAACGCAGCGAAAUGCGAUAAGUAAUGCGAAUUGCAGAAUUCCAGUGAGUCAUCGAAUCUUUGAACGCACAUUGCGCCCUUUGGUAUUCCGAAGGGCAUGCCUGUUCGAGCGUCAUUAUCACCCCUCAAGCCCUCGGCUUGGUGUUGGACGGCUUGGUGGAGACCCCCUUUGCGGGCUUCUACCCCUCCCAAAGACAAUGACGGCGGCCUCGUUGGACCCCCGGUACACUGAGUUCUUCACGGGACACGUAUCGGACACAUGGGUUCACGGGACACGGUCUGCCUCCCCUCAGGGAGAAUCUUUUUUUAUCAAGGUUGACCUCGGAUCAGGUAGGGAUACCCGCUGAACUUUAAGCAUAUCAAUAAGCGGA
This 607-nucleotide ribosomal RNA is filed under the name fungal endophyte. RNAcentral's name for it is "eukaryotic LSU rRNA". The stretch from base 197 to 351 matches the Rfam family "5.8S ribosomal RNA". Lineage: Eukaryota; Fungi. The record is from RNAcentral.